Molecule: ribosomal RNA, 38 nt
Filed under: Pyrofomes demidoffii
Lineage: Eukaryota; Fungi; Basidiomycota; Agaricomycetes; Polyporales; Polyporaceae
Also listed under: 4 other names
Description: partial 28S ribosomal RNA
Source: RNAcentral
CUGACCUCAAAUCAGGUGGGACUACCCGCUGAACUUAA